RNAcentral lists this ribosomal RNA (443 nucleotides) under uncultured soil bacterium. RNAcentral describes it as "bacterial SSU rRNA". It matches the Rfam family "Bacterial small subunit ribosomal RNA", at positions 26 to 467 of the family's 1533-position model. The record is from RNAcentral.
AGGACGAACGCUGGCGGCGUGCUUAACACAUGCAAGUCGAGCGGUAAGGCCUUUCGGGGUACACGAGCGGCGAACGGGUGAGUAACACGUGGGUGAUCUGCCCUGCACUUCGGGAUAAGCCUGGGAAACUGGGUCUAAUACCGGAUAUGACCUCCUAUCGCAUGGUGGGUGGUGGAAAGAUUUAUCGGUGCAGGAUGGGCCCGCGGCCUAUCAGCUUGUUGGUGGGUAAUGGCCUACCAAGGCUUCGACGGGUAGCCGGCCUGAGAGGGUGACCGGCCACACUGGGACUGAGACACGGCCCAGACUCCUACGGGAGGCAGCAGUGGGAAUAUGGACAAGUGGGACAAAGCCUGAUCCAGCAACGCCGCGUAGGAGGGAUAGGACCGGUCCUUCGGGUUAGUAAACCCUUCGUUUCGACGGUCGUACCCGACGAACGCGAAGUA